This 1092-nucleotide long non-coding RNA is filed under the name Hordeum vulgare. RNAcentral describes it as "long non-coding RNA (HVUL_LNC008070)". The record is from RNAcentral. Lineage: Eukaryota; Viridiplantae; Streptophyta; Magnoliopsida; Poales; Poaceae.
UAAAUAGGAGUAUAGAGUUCUGUGCGUAGUAAAGAAAAUGGUAUUCAUUCACUCAGUUUGUCUACCUUCAUCCACAACAUUCAGAGCAUAGCUCAUUUGCUUCUACCAACUGCGAAUAACAUUGAACUGAAGCACAUGAAUGUUGAGGCUUGAGUUUUUUUAAUAUAUUUGUAAACCGAUAAAUAAUUUGAUCUUAAUGUGUGAUGGAUGGAUAGUUAAUGCACCCAGGAGACUCUACCUUGUUCAAGCACAUUGCCUCCGACCUUAGCUCAAUAUAUUGGCUCUGUUUAACCACAUUGCCUCCGACCUUAACUCAAUAUGUUGGCCCUGUGCAUGUAGCCCGCUUUUCACACAUCCUACUUGCUUUAGCACUUGUUACACUAUUUCAAUCCAUAUACUAGACUCAAGAUAAACAUAUAGAGAAAUCCUAGUUUCAAGGACUUGGUAUGGGAGUUGUUGGAAUGGGAGUCACCGGGAAAUUGUUGAGAUUGCUGCGAAGGUGAUGUGUGGAAAAAAACAGCCAUUGUGGUCGUAGCCUUGUGCGUGGCGGAACACAAUUUUUUUUCAUGGACGUCGUGUAGUGCGGUCGAUUUACAUGGAGGUUCGACAAGACUCGCGACAUGAUUAGAAGAAGUGAAACACUCUCGAGGUGAUAGGAAUCAAUAAAUUUGGCUCGUGCAACAUGGUUAAGUCAUGGCGCGGACAUGCACAUGGGGCAUGUUGAAGCGUUGGAGGCUUCAACAUACAUGUUUCCCAUUAGGUGAACGGAGAGCUACCAGUGUAUCUUGUGGCGAAGCAUUGGGCAUGUGCCAAUGCAUCGUUUUUUAUCAUGUUAUCAUAUGAGCAUUAAUGAUUUAAGAUAAAACCAUGGCAAUGCAUUGUUUCUUACUCCCUCCGUUAAAGUUUAGAAGACACAGUUAAAUUUACGUGCAUCUCCACAGUAGACAAGGUUUAAGGCGCAUUUCAUUUACUCCUAGCAGCAAAUUAGUACUUCAUUAUACUACUUCUAUUUGCAUGCGUAGUGUGAAUGCUAUUUUUCAUCCAAUCUCAGAGUCAACCAAUAACUACCUAGGUUCCAGAGAAUUUCCAAAC